GUAGUUGUGGUUCAGUGGUAGAAUUCUUGCCUUCUAAAAAAAAUUUUUUUUUUUUUUUUUAUGCAGGAGACCUGGGUUCGAUUCCCAGCCAAUGCA
This 96-nucleotide transfer RNA is filed under the name Loxodonta africana (African savanna elephant). It matches the Rfam family "tRNA". Rfam says of the family: Transfer RNA (tRNA) molecules are approximately 80 nucleotides in length. Their secondary structure includes four short double-helical elements and three loops (D, anti-codon, and T loops). Further hydrogen bonds mediate the characteristic L-shaped molecular structure. tRNAs have two regions of fundamental functional importance: the anti-codon, which is responsible for specific mRNA codon recognition, and the 3' end, to which the tRNAs corresponding amino acid is attached (by aminoacyl-tRNA synthetases). tRNAs cope with the degeneracy of the genetic code in two manners: having more than one tRNA (with a specific anti-codon) for a particular amino acid; and 'wobble' base-pairing, i.e. permitting non-standard base-pairing at the 3rd anti-codon position. The record is from Rfam by way of RNAcentral. Lineage: Eukaryota; Metazoa; Chordata; Mammalia; Proboscidea; Elephantidae.